RNAcentral lists this long non-coding RNA (1292 nucleotides) under Calidris pugnax (ruff). Its description in RNAcentral is "lncRNA (ENSCPUG00000010597.1)". The record is from RNAcentral. Lineage: Eukaryota; Metazoa; Chordata; Aves; Charadriiformes; Scolopacidae.
GAGGAAUGACAAAAAUGAAAAAGAAAUAAAGUGCUAAUGACUGCUUUCUUAACUUAGUGCCAAUCCAGGAAAAAAAAAAAAAAAGAAAAAAAAGAAAAAAAAAAGGAAAAAAAAAGGAAGGAAAAAAAAAAGGAAGAAAAAAAAAAAAAAAAAAAAAAAAAGGAAGAAAAAAAAAAUGUCUGCAGCUUUCUGUUGACCCUGCAUGAUGGCAUUUUUGCGCUCUGUGUGCUGCCUCUGCUGAUUGCUAUUCCUGGCACAAACACACACACACGCACACACACACACACACACACACGCAGCCCCAGCACGGCUCUCACGGGCACGGCGAGCCCACUCCAAAAAUAAAAUAAAAUAAAAAAAAAAUUAAAAAAACCCCAAAACAACAAAACCCCCUCAAAACACCCCCCCCACCACCAAAUUGUCCCCAAACCCAACCCGAGCCGGCUAUUUCUCACAUUUUUUUUUCUAAGGAUCUAAUCUGGCUACUGUGCUCUGGAAGAGGAGGAGAGCGAGCCAGCAGGAGAGAGAGGAGAGAGCGAGGACCAUCGCAGCGCCUCAAGGUUGAUGUCAAUCCCUUUGCCGGGGAGCGGGAACACGCGGCGCCCUCCCUCCAUGUUAUCUCCGGCGAUGGAUUUUGCUCCAGAGCGCGAUUCCCUGCCGGAGAGGGAAUUUACCCAGGAAGGCUCAGGCUGAGCAUCUGCUUUGCUGUGAGCCUUCAGCCUUUUUUUUUCCCCUUUUUUUUCUUUUUUCCCUGCUUUCUUUUUUUUUUUUCCUUUUUUCUUUUUCCUUUUUUCCCUUAUUUUUCUUUUUUCUUCUUCUUUCUUCUUUUUUCUCUUUCUUCUGUUUUCUUUUUCCUUUUUUCUUUUUUUCUCUUUUCUAUUUUUUUUCUUUUUCUCUUUUUUCUUUUUUUCCUGUUUUCUUUUUUCUUCUUUUUCCUUUUCUUUGUUUUUUUCUAUUUUCCUUUUGUUGUUUUUCUUUUUUAUUCCCCCUUCUUUCCCCCCUUUUUUUCUUUUUUUUUUUUUUUUCCCCCCCACCCCCUCCCCUCCCAGUUUCAAAAUAAAGGAAGAAAAACCAAGGGGAGAAGAGAGGAUGGAGCUGGCGGAUGAGCCGGAUUUCCAUGCGAGGAGAUGAGGUUGGGGAGGCCACGGGCUUCCCCUGGCAAGCGCCGGAGGAACCGGGGCCAGCAGAAACGUUGAGUCAUGAGUGCGGUUCGCAGGCGAUGGUUUUUUUGGGUGUUGGUUUUUUUUUUUUCCCCAAAUAAAAUUCCUUGCUGGGGAGGAGCUGCUGGAAGG